UUUCCUCCCACCUUAUAGUCACCUUAUGAAGCAGAGACAUGGUGGUUUUGUUGCUUUCAGGGUGUUUUGAGGUCAUAAGAAAUUCAUCCAAGUCUCUUUAAAGGUCAUUGUAGAAAAUAAUUGUACGAAACCUGGAUUUGAUGGCAGCCAAAGGACCUACAUGGAGGAAAUAAAAGAGGGAUCCAGCUGGAGCAGAGAGCUUGUGAAGAGACUUAAAUGUUGGCAGCCCUUUCUCUUGGCAAUGUGGAGAAGACAAUAAGAGGGUUCUUAUGUUCCUUAUGAGCUGUGUUGGAGGGAUAAUUUUAAGACCACUAGGAGACUCUGGAGUAUCACUUUACGCAAGAAGUAAGAAAAUUCAAUCCCCACUUCAGACGAAGAAAGAGAGAGAAACCUAACCUUAACUCUAGAUUCUGCCUAUUCUGCAGCCAGUCCUGCUGAGUAUCUGGUGCCCUUCUGUGAGCCCUGCUGAGCUGAUGUAGCAGGUCUUUUCAUUCUGCUUCAGUGACAACAUGAGGAGCACUGCUGUUCCAGCUCCAGGCUAAUGAGCGCAGCCAAAUUAUGAUCAUCUCCCUCAAAUCAGUAGUGGAGAAUUUUAAUUUCCUGGCCUUCCAGUAGUGUGUUGGGGUUUCAGCUUCAAACACCGUUAGAAAAGGAGACUAAUCCUCUAGUGUUCACAAAACACAAACUAAACAGUGGAAUGCAAACCCAGUGAAGUAAUAAUAUAUGUCUGCUUUAAUGUCAUUUCAAGAUGCCUGUACUAGAAGGAGCUUACCCAUUGCACAAUGAGAUGGUGAUGAAAUCAUCUUUAGUGUGUUUCCCCUAGUUUACUUAGUUAACUUUCAAAAGCAUGCAGCCAUUCUGUCUGAUGACCUAAUGUGGCAUGACUGGAAGCUUAGUUUAUUUUCAACAGCUUCUUAAUGCUAGAACUUGAACCUGUUACAUCUCUGGGUUUUCUAUAGAAGUUGGGCAACCCAUGGCUUGUCAUUUAUGAGAGGUGAAAUUUUCAUCUGAAGCUGCAACUAGGUGGAGAACAUGGUGAAUAGGAUUUGCUUAUAUGACUGAACUAUAAAAAUAGCACAGUGUCUGGAAACAAUUUGAAAAGGCUUUGCCACAUGUACAGCACACCAGGAAAGACAUUCUGGUCUUGAAACCGCUUAAUAGUCCCAUCAGGAAAAUAUGGUUUAACUUUCUGGAGUUUGCAGACACAUGAAUUAUUAUGGACACUGGUGUCAUUGAGGGAUAACAACUUCACUCUCCAUAUCCACCUGUGUAAAUUACAAAGGAAGUGAUACAGGGGCAUGAAGAUUAGUUAAUUUUUGUAUGGCACUUUGAAGUUGAAAAGCUCUAUUGUACAUAUUUUGCUAAAUAUAUUUAAAGUGUAUGUAUUGAUGAUAUAUAUCCUCUCUCUCUCUCUCUCUCUCUCCCUCUCUCUCAUCGUUAGAUAUAUUCUUCGUAAACUUGAAUAGGGCUUGCAGUUUAGAAAAUGCCAGCAUUUUAAGGGUUAGUUAUGUGGCACACACUUCUGGAUUAUUGCUUAAAAAAACACAUGUACACACACAAGAAAGCCAAGAUGCAGUUACAUAAAUGGGCUUUUAUGUGAGCUGAAAAGUUUAAAAAUGAUUAUACUUACAUGCAACUUUACUGAACUAUUGUUUAAGGAAAAUUAAUAAAGAGCCAAUAUUUGUAUGGAAAAGAUUGCCAUUGUAAGAAAAAAAAAGUCUUUUUUAUGUUGUGGGUUUGUUAAAAAUACAAAACAUUUUUGCCUUGGGUUUUCCCCAGAAAUUAAAGGUAAUUUUCAUAGUCAGUAAAGUGAAGCACUGCAGCGAAAAAGACAAAUUGUUCUCUUGACAAAGUAGUAACAUACUUCUAUGUAAACUGCAAGUUUGCAACUGAAGUGAAUUCACAAGAAUUCAGAAUCCAAAGAAAACCACACAGUUGGAUGGACAAAGUGCUAUUAUGUGCUUUCCCUGUCUACUUAUACUUUGGUCAACAAAGACCCAUAACUGGGGAUGGGCUGAAAUCAGAACUGUAGAUCCAAACCAAUCCUCCCCAUUCUGAACUCUUGGGGAUCCAAACUCAGAUCUGCAUCCAUAGUGGAAUUAAUCUACUGGCUCAUUAUUGGGCAUUAUGUCACCUCCCCAAUUUAACAUCCGGCUAAUACAGGGCUCUGUAAACCCUCCAGCACAAGCAAGGGAAGUACAACAUGAGGUCAGAGGGGACCAGGUUCAGGAGAGGGCCAGAGGCUGCUAAGGAACAGGGGCAGCAGGCCAGAGGUAGCAGCCUGCUAGCAGGCUGCUGAACAAAGGCUGAUCAACAAGCAGCCUGGAAACUGGGAAACAG
Long non-coding RNA from Chelonoidis abingdonii (Abingdon island giant tortoise), 2340 nucleotides. RefSeq lists it as uncharacterized. Lineage: Eukaryota; Metazoa; Chordata; Testudines; Testudinidae. The record is from RefSeq and is a predicted model, not a curated record.